UACAGUAAAAUCCUAAGUCUAUUUAUUUAGGUGUAAAUAAUCGCUGAGUUCAAUGGCCUCGCUUCCUCUCUAGUCAGCAUGCUUCAGAUAAAAACUUUUACUCUGAGGGCCUGUUGAGAAAUUGGCAGACUUGCUUCUAUCCUUCCCUCAAAACAAGCAUUUAUCUGUAGUUUAAUCUUCAAAAAGGAAACCAUGAAAGACAACGAAAGAAAAGGGUGUACUUGCUCCAGAAUCAAGGCUUUUGGAUAGGACCUCGCAAGAUGAUUUUAUAAAAGAUCUUUAAUAUGGUAUGCUAGAGAGGAGGGCUGUUGUUGAUUGCUUCUCCUUCACUGUCAAGAUGUCCCAUUUUCCUGUAUAUUUCUCCAAAGAAGCAGCAAAGCCUACGCUGCCCGGCUCAAGGCCAAGUCUGCCGAUGGUUCCUGGCACUCAUGUUUCAUCAUUGUUGAUCCUCGCCAGCAAAGCAUGUGCAAGGUGAGGGCUUCAUUUUACUUGCUGCAGAUGGAGUGGUGCAAUUUUUUUACGUGUCCAUAAGGACAAUGUCUUAUUUUGGGAGGGGGGACCUUCCAUUCAGUGAAGGGGGAGAAACAUCCUUAAUUCUAAAAUUCCUUUCUUCUUUAACUGUGGCCACUGUCAGAGUGAAGCUCUGCAAAAACUCCUCCCUUGAAUAGGAAGAACUUGGAUAUUACUUGCAUAUCCCCACCUCCAAAGAAAGUGGGAGGGGUAUUGAUCCCUUCCUAGCAGCUUGCUCAGUAUAUUCAAAAAGUCUACCAUUGUUUCAUCAUCUAGCCCCCUACUCAUAUUAUACUGAUUCUGCAGCCGAUAAACCACAUGAUGCAAAUCA
Long non-coding RNA from Candoia aspera, 841 nucleotides. RefSeq lists it as uncharacterized. The record is from RefSeq and is a predicted model, not a curated record. Lineage: Eukaryota; Metazoa; Chordata; Lepidosauria; Squamata; Candoiidae. The transcript is spliced from 2 exons.